RNAcentral lists this long non-coding RNA (1134 nucleotides) under Aotus nancymaae (Ma's night monkey). RNAcentral describes it as "lncRNA (ENSANAG00000038961.1)". The record is from RNAcentral. Lineage: Eukaryota; Metazoa; Chordata; Mammalia; Primates; Aotidae.
GUCCGGGAGCCACACACUGGUGCCGCCUGAGACCCAGCGGGCCGACCCCCUGGUGUGUGCCGUGGGCAUGCUGGGCUCUGCCAUCUUCAUCUGCCUGAUCUUCGUGGCUGCCAAGAGCAGCAUUGUAGGGGCCUAUAUCUGUAUCUUCGUCGGGGAGACACUGCUGUUUUCCAACUGGGCCAUCACUGCCGACAUCCUCAUGUACGUGGUCAUCCCCACCCGGCGUGCCACGGCUGUGGCCUUGCAGAACUUCACCUCCCACCUGCUGGGGGACGCCGGGAGCCCCUACGUCAUUGGCUUUAUCUCAGACCUGAUCUGCCAGAGCACCAAGGACUCCUCGCUCUGGGAGUUCCUGAGCCUGGGCUACGUGCUCAUGCUCUGCCCCUUCGUCGUGGUCCUGGGGGGCAUGUUCUUCCUCGCCAUGGUGCUCUUCUUCCUCAGCGACCGUGCCAAGGCUGAGCAGCAGUGAGUGGGGCUGAGGGGAGGCCUGCUGGGGAGCCCUGCUCGGGGGUGGCGGAGAGGAGACCUGGGUGCACCCAGUGGGUGGCCUGGUUGCUGGGGUCCAGCCCCUGGGCCUCCCCGCACCUGUGGGGCUCAGUGCCAGCAUUGGCCUGGAGCUGUGGGGGGCCACAGGGGUGUCUGGUGGGUCCAGGCUUGGACUUGGUGGUUUUCGAAGCUGGGACCCCUCCCCAUUCCUUUUCCUCUCACCUUCUGACUUCUUUCUCCUUUCCUCUUUACUCCUCUCUCUCCUCUCCCCACCCCUGGGCUCUCCCACCUCCCCCUGGGGCUGACGAGGUCCCUGCCCAGCACCUCCGGUCAGCUGGCCCCCACAACGCGAUGUGCCAGAGCAGUGCCCGGGCCCGGCCCCUGCUGAUGCGUCACCCUGACUCCCGCCCAUCUCUCCCUCAGGGUGAACCAGCUGGUGAUGCCGCCCGAAUCUGUGAAAGUCUGAGGUGGUGAGUGCAGGCAGAGAGGCCCUCGGGAAGGGGGAAGGCCAGGGCUAGGUGACAGGGAGCACUCUUCCUCCCGAGUCCCCUCCUGCCCCAGCACCUCCCAUCAACCCUGGGCUUGGACUCUGAUGUUGCGAGAAUUCACUGAUGGAGCCAUGGGUCAGGGCUCCUGCUUCCAGUAAUA